Molecule: long non-coding RNA, 814 nt
Filed under: Brachypodium distachyon (stiff brome)
Lineage: Eukaryota; Viridiplantae; Streptophyta; Magnoliopsida; Poales; Poaceae
Description: long non-coding RNA (BDIS_LNC003472)
Source: RNAcentral
GGCGACGGAGGCGAUGCCUAGGUGGUCGGGACGGUGGCGGCCGGCGGCGUGCUUCGGGCGUGACGGCGAACACGAGCUUCGGUGCUCCAAAAAUAAAAAGUAACCGCAUCAAAAGCUUCGCAAAGAGGAGGGUGGCAGCGACUGCGGACCUUUUGGUCACCGGUGGCGAGCUCCACACGGCGGCGACAGUGGCUAGGUGGCACUGUGAAAUUAGAGAAGUUCGGUGGUGGUUCGGGCAAGAGAGGAGAGGGAAAAAGAAGAGGAACUCAGGGGCUUCAAUCUGACGCGCUUGGACUCAGAUAUGGGGGAAUGGUGGCGGAGAAAUCGCGUGGAGAUCGUGGGGGCCCGGCUCGGGUUCAUGGCUGGGAAAAUCGGCUCGGGGGUUGGAGGUUAGGGACGGGCCUGACAUGCGGGACCCGCAUGUCAGUGGGUGCGCGGCUCGGCGCGUGCGUGGAGAUGGGACGCACGGCUCGGUAAGUGGGCCGGCCCGGUACGGGUCGGUCCGGUUCCCCCUUUUUUUUAUUUUUCCCUUUUCAAUUUCUAUUUUUUGUUUUUGAAUACAACAUGUGAUUCAAAACCCAAAUCAAAUCAAAUAAAAUGCAACAAAAUUUGUACAAUCGUAUCUUCAUAUGAUUCAACCUCUGGGACAAGAAUUCCCUCAAAAUAAAUAUUUAAAAAUACUUUUGCCUAUAAUCUUGCCUUUAGGGCUUUAUAGCUAGUAAAAUAUUUUAGAGUUUCGAAUCCAAUUCAAAUACCAAGAUAUGGGGUAGCAUUUUCAUUGCAUUAAACCCCUUUUUAUGCCAAAACCCUCAUG